UACGUAGGGGGCAAGCGUUGUCCGGAUUCAUUGGGCGUAAAGAGCGCGUAGGCGGCCCGAUAAGUCCGCUGUGAAAGUCAAGGGCUCAACCCUUGAAUGCCGGUGGAUACUGUCGGGCUAGAGUCCGGAAGAGGCGAGUGGAAUUCCUGGUGUAGCGGUGAAAUGCGCAGAUAUCAGGAAGAACACCUAUGGCGAAGGCAGCUCUCUGGGACGGUACUGACGCUGAGACGCGAAAGCGUGGGGAGCGAACAGG
Molecule: ribosomal RNA, 253 nt
Filed under: uncultured bacterium
Lineage: Bacteria
Description: partial 16S ribosomal RNA
Rfam family: Bacterial small subunit ribosomal RNA
Source: RNAcentral